This is a long non-coding RNA of Gossypium arboreum, 739 nucleotides long. RefSeq lists it as uncharacterized. The transcript has 3 exons. Lineage: Eukaryota; Viridiplantae; Streptophyta; Magnoliopsida; Malvales; Malvaceae. The record is from RefSeq and is a predicted model, not a curated record.
AUAUAUAUACUUGUUUCUUCUGGUCUUGCAUGUUAGGUAUAUUAUAUAGAAUUUAUCUUUAUUCUUCUAGUUUAACUCUCUGAAAUGGCAAUGAAAAAUUUCAGCAUUUUCUUCUUUCCUCGCAUCUCCUUUCCUUCGAGAUUAUGAUAAUACUCGCUUAGGGGAUUCGACCUCAAGAUUGCCUCGUAUGUCAGAUGUUCUUAAGCGAAGAACCUCAGUUCACUGGAGCAAGAAACAACAAAGUAGUUUUAAAUCGGUGAAGAAGAAAAUUCAAGGAGCAACAAACGAAAUCAGAAAUGUUGCAAGUUUGAGGUUGAAUGAGGUCUGCAAUUGGCUUACAGCAAGACUGGGCCUCAAUGGAUAACGCCAAAUAUAGCAAAGAGUCAGGAAGCAAUAAUGGUGAAAAGAGAGAAGACUGCAUAUGUUACAAGUAGGUAGUAAACAAAAUGGAUUGUUAGGGUAGAUGGUAUACUUGGAUCUGGAGAUGUUUCAUUACUUGGGGUUACGCUUAUAGAAAUAAGAGAUCAGCAGAGUUUCUUGGAAUUGAAGUUGCAGUUUCAGACUGAACUAGCUUUUAUGUAGCACAAUAUCAAUAUCAAUGUCCAUCGUCUUAGGUACUUUUUUAUUUGUUUACUUUUGUACAUUGGAUUGAAUGCUGGUGGUAUACAGUUCAGCUAAAUGUUAGUUUAUUUUGAUUGUUGGAUCGAUUUUUGUAAUGAAUAUUCAAUUUUUAUUUUUA